Nymphaea colorata (pocket water lily) is the source of this 2083-nucleotide long non-coding RNA. RefSeq lists it as uncharacterized. The transcript has 4 exons. The record is from RefSeq and is a predicted model, not a curated record. Lineage: Eukaryota; Viridiplantae; Streptophyta; Magnoliopsida; Nymphaeales; Nymphaeaceae.
AUAUAAACCUCAUGUGCAAUGUUUCAAUUUUGUAAUAUUGUUAUCUUUGUUGACAUUUAUAUACCUUUUAGGAUAUGUUUUCCCGAAAACUUUCCUGCUAAAUGUUUGUAAAUAGCAUAAAUUUCCCCUCCGUGUAUUUUUCCACGGUUUAGUUAUGACAGCUUUGUAAAAUGUGUAAAUAGCAGGCCAAACGUUGCUUUCUCAUGUUCUAGGAAAAUGCCACCCCUAUUGGGAUGCAAAGCUUUUGAGAAUCAGCAAAUCAAGGCGAAGCAACGAACGAUCGCCACCUGUUUCCCUCGUUCUGCUUCCCAUUUGAAAACCGAGUGGCUGUGAGCGACGACGACCCUGCGUUGGAAAUCACGAGCUUAAUGCUGCAAACAGAUAGCAAGUAACUGGUCUUCUUCCCCCUAGUUUUUGGCUUUGGAGUUUGGACUCAUGGGUCCCUCUGCUGUUUUGCGCUGUAUCUAUUUUGUUUCUUCUUGUACAGCUUUUUCUUCUUUGAUUUGAAUAUAUUUCGGAGGUGAUCCCUUCAGCAGGAUCGUUUCGUGACUUUCGUCGACUUCAGAGAACGGCGUCUCUGGAGUUCCAUCCACAGCAACGCGCUGGGGAAUUGAAGGUCAUCGGACUAUCCACAACUCCUUGGUUCAGCAGUUUUGGACGGUUUCCAUUUUUCUCUUGAAGUACUAAGAAAUGAAGGAGAUGCAAGGUUUGGGAGGAUUGUGGUGUAGACUAACAUGUUUGUCAAGAGAUUUUAUCAUUCCCUUUUUUUUGGUUGAGGAGGAGUGGGGUUACAAUUUUUGGAGCCUGCAGGGAUUUGUUUCCCCUUUCAAAUCUGGUUUAAAAUGUCAUUCUGACAACAUGAUGGAUCGUCUUGGAGUAUUUCUCAUUUGGAUAUAGCCUGGUUCUGGUCUUAUCUUAGACGUGUGUUUGGAGGACAUGAUCCCUAGUGAUUUAGUGGUUUAUACUAUGUUGCACUGUUAAACUUGCAAUUUUCUUAAUCUUGUGUGGAGUAAUGGACUGGAUUAAGAUGGAAACAUGGAUCUGCACCAAGUUCAGGUAAGUUCUGCCUGAUUCAACCAGCAUCAACCUUGCCUACAUCUAGUCCUAGAAUUUUUGAGCUGGUCUUGAUGAAUGCAGAAUUCGUGCACCAUGGUUUCAUUGGAAUCGUUAGAGACAGGAUCUGGUUCCUUUUCAGUUGCUUUGGUAGUUGAUUUGCAGUUGCUAAAGUGAACACCCCAAAUCAGGGAUGGGACCUGUUUAAUGAGUCUGACCCCACCGUGACUCCCAUUGCCUGGGUUAUGGGUAUGAUCUCAAAAGAAACACUGUGGCUGAAGGUAUUUGGACAGGAAGUGGUGAUAUCAGGAGCUUGGAACAUGUCACCUGGAAUUCUAUUGUCCACAGCCGGUACUGCAUUUCAUGCCAUCUUCUUUUCUGCAAACAAGGAUCUGACUGAAGAGUCUUUCUUCAUGGAUCAAAAUACUUCUAUGACUCAUACUAACAUGAUGAACGCUAGUCUGUCCAUUUAUGAAGGCUACCAUAUAUCAAGAACUUCCGUAAUCCAUUUGUUAAGUGAGGGGGCAAGUUGCUUGUGGCAAUAAAAAGUUUACAGAUGGCACUAUAUUUGUCCUGAUGCAACUCUCUCUUUCUCUCUCUCGCACUACAUUUGUCCUGAUAUAGCGCUCUCUCUCUCUCUCUCCCCGUGUGUGUGUGUGAACUGUUGGUUGUUCCUGACAUUUGUCCUUAGAUGUUAUGACAUGAGUGAAAACUGUAGAAUUUUCGUCUUUCAUAGACUGAUUCUUCUACCUGACAAAUUUUUAUCAUUAUAAAUGAAAUAGUGACAAGUUAUGACCAAGGUAACUGCAGAAUUGUCCUUGAAAUUCCAAAUGCACCUGUAACUGCACUCUCACUUGCUUUGUUUUGGUAGUUCAUGUUUCAUUUAUUGGUCUUGACUUAUUUAUGAUCCUUGAAGGCUUAACCAAUGUAUGAUAUUUGUUAAAGUUCUGGAUUACAAGUUAUGUGAUGCAGUAUCAGGUUAAUGAUGGAAAAUUAGCAGAAAAGAUAUGUUGAAGAUUUAUAUUUCUCC